CCCUUAGAUGUUCUGGGCUGCACGCGCGCUACACUGAUGCGUUCAACAAGUGUUAACCUUGCCCGAUAGGGUUGGGUAAUCUUUUGAAAGCGCAUCGUGAUGGGGAUCGAUGACUGCAAUUGUUCAUCUUCAACGAGGAAUUCCUAGUAAGCGCAAGUCAUCAGCUUGCACUGAUUACGUCCCUGCCCUUUGUACACACCGCCCGUCGCUCCUACCGAUUGAGUGAUCCGGUGGAUAGUUCGGAUCGUGCAGGUUGCCUUCGGGUGCUUGUAUGAGAAGUUCAGUAAACCUUAUCACUUAGAGGAAGGAGAAGUCGUAACA
This 321-nucleotide ribosomal RNA is filed under the name uncultured eukaryote. RNAcentral's name for it is "partial 18S ribosomal RNA". It matches the Rfam family "Eukaryotic small subunit ribosomal RNA", at positions 1470 to 1796 of the family's 1831-position model. The record is from RNAcentral.